AUGAGCAUCUAACAGGAACGGGACCUGAAUGGGGCUGGGAUUGGACAGUGAAGGCAGAACUCUCCUGAGAUGUGGCUCCUGGAGCCAUGCUUUAGAGACCCUCUCUGGUCCUCACCUAUCACCUUCCUGUCCCAAGUUGGCUGGAACUCUGCAGAGCUGGGGGAGAAAACUCACGUCCUGGCUUCUGUCCAGCUCCACAUCAGAAAUGGCAUCAAAUGAAACCCAGGACAUGGGGAACUGCACGACUGAAACCUUCAAGGGACAAUUUUACCCCAUCGCCUACCUAAUCAUAUUUGUCUGGGGAUCCUUGGGAAAUGGCUUGUCCAUAUAUGUUUUCCUGCAGACUUAUAAGAAAUCCUCAUCUGUGAAUGUCUUCAUGCUCAACCUGGCCAUUUCCGAUCUCCUGUUCACAAGUACUCUGCCCUUCAGGGCUGACUACUAUUUCAGAGGCUCCAACUGGAUAUUUGGGGACCUGGCCUGCAGAAUUAUGUCGUACUCCUUGUACGUCAACAUGUACACCAGCAUUUAUUUCCUGACCGUGCUCAGCGUUGUGCGUUUCCUAGCCACCGUUCACCCCUUCCGGCUUCUCCAUGUCACCAGCUUCAGGACGGCUUGGAUCCUCUGUGGGAUCAUAUGGCUCUUUAUCAUGAUUGCCUCAGGAAUGCUGCUGAAGAGAGGCUCCGAGCCAAAGGGCGAGCUCAUAUCAUGCUUGGAUCUGGAUCCCCAAAAAAUUAACAAUCUGCUGAUCAUGAACUACGUUGCCUUGGUGGUGGGCUUCCUGCUGCCCUUCUUCACACUCACCAUCUCUUACCUGCUGAUCAUCCGGGUCCUGUCGAAGGUGAAGCUCUCGGAACUGGGUCUGAGGGCUUCUCACAGGAAGGCUAUGAUCACCAUCAUCAUCACCUUGAUCAUCUUCCUCCUGUGUUUCCUGCCUUAUCACUCACUGAGGACCCUCCACCUGGUCACCUGGGAUGAGAAGGCGUGCGGGGACGGGCUGCACAAAGCCGUGGUCAUCACACUGGCCUUGGCGGCAGCCAACACCUGCUUCAAUCCUUUCCUCUAUUACUUUGCUGGGGAGAAUUUCAAGGAUAAACUAAGGGCUGUGUUCAGAAAAGAACAUCUACAGAGGGCAACGACAAAGUGCAGCUCUCCUGUUUGUGCGUGGCUGAAAACGGACACGAGGGUGUAAGGUCCUUAGAUGAGGCUCCUUCGCAUACCGUUGUGUCCACCUUCAUUCACUCAGCAUCCAGAUGACAUUGUCAUUACGUCACUCUUGACAAAUGUUGAUGUCCACGUCUUAUUAACCAUGACCUUUGUUAAUAAGACCUACUUAGGACAUUUCAUUGGGUGUAGUUUCAGUGGCUGAGUCUAAAUGAUGUAGGAGGAGAAACCCCCCAGUAGAGUCUUAAAUGCUGAAAUCUCAGACUGGGGGGAAGAUGUCAAGCACAGUGGAGCUUGCUUUCCAUCAGAUUCUGGAUCCAGAUCUCUGGCCCAUCAGACAUUCUACAUUUUUAAUUGUCUAACUUCCCCAGCAUAUCCAGUUCCCCAUCCCUAUUAAUCUUUGAGAUACAGCCCAUUACAAAUAUACCAGAGGCCCCAGGACAUCACAAGUGCAUCCCCAGAGAAGAAGUGUAUCCUAAAAUUCAGGCAGAGGCUGGGUAUGAUGGUGCACGCCUGUAAUCCCAGUGGCUCCAGAGGCUGAGGCAGGAGAAUUGUUGAGUUCAAAACCAGCCUCAGUAACUUAAUGAGGCAUUUAGCAACUCAGCCAGACCCUGUCUCUAAAUAAAAUAGAAAAAGGUCUGGGGAUGUGGCUCAGUGGUUAAGCAUCCCUGGGUUCAAUCCUGGGUACCAGAGGGGGCGGGGGAAGGGACUCAGGCUAAGAUAUUGUGAAGAGAAAGGAUGCCCUGUAACAAAGCAGUUACCAAGGCCCCAAACAAGGACAGUGAGAGAGAAGCAGGGGAAGGAUUGAGGUCAGAGAGAGCUGAUGAUAAGUGGGGGAAAGAGGAAUUUCAUUUUGCCCUGGGAGAAGGGUUCUUGCACAAUGAAGGCACAAGGAAUGUUUCCCUUGCCUCUUUCUUGCUCUGGGGUUAGGAAGGACAGGAAGAGUAGGAGGGGGAGCCGGGGCACUGGGUAGAGGGUGGAGAAAUUAGGCAUGGAAUAGGCGAGAAGGCAGGGUCAUGGGCACGUGUCUGUUUUACUUUGAGACCUGGGUUUGGACUGAUGUCACUGCAAUCACUACUCCCGCUGUGGGUCCACUGGGAUGGGAGCCAAAGUAAAGGAGGUGAUGCUGAGGGUUUGGAUUGGGCACUCAGGGAAAGGGAGGAGUGGAAAGCCAGGUGCAAAGGCCGCUGCAUCCCUGAAGUCCUGUUUAUGCUUCAGCAGGACAUGAGCAGAGAGUGGAAACAAAAGCACCGGACAUGGGAGGAGAUCCUUUCUGUCCACAGAAACCAGGCUAAGGAUCCUGCCAACCACUACCAACAACCACUACCAAGGACACUGCACUGCUGCCCUCCCCGUGCCAGGCAGACGGUACCAGGCACUUCACAUUCAUUCACCCCACAGAACCCUCCCGUCUCGACUCCGGAGAAGUUUUCAUUUCACAGAUGGAGAAAUGGGAGCUCAGAGACUUUGAGAAGUGUGCCUCAGUUUAAACAGCUAGUGAGCGUUUAAAAACCUCCUUGCGGAAGGGCUGACAGGGUACUCUACCCACUGGACCCUUGCAAACCUCCAGGGACACUUUUUGAAAGGCUGAAUAGGAGCUCCCCUCUCCCACCAGGAAUAUGCUCCUCCUCAUUCUUACAAGAAAAUAAAGAUUUUUCUCUUUGGAGUUGAUCCCUGACACGGUGGAGGGCUGGAGGGAAGUGAUGUUCUGAGGCUCUGGAGGGACUAAGACCGCUUUCAUGCUAAAGUGAGGACCCAGUGCCCUUCCCUUAUUUGGCUACUAGAAUGAUGACAGACAGAUGCCUGUCAAGGCAGGACCCUGGGGCUUCUGCCUACAGGAAACUGCACAAUCCUAGAAAGAAGGCUGACAGAGGUUGGGAAUCCUCUAGCCUCAAAGCUAGACACCUGCUUUGUUUCCUACCUGACUUCAGAGCCUACAAUGCAGUGAAUCCCUUUCACUCACAAGAGCAUCAAAUCAACCUGUUUUGACAUCAUUAUGAACGGCCAUCAGUGACCACUGCACACUUGAGGAAAAGGCCCUCGUGUGAAAGACACCAGCAAAUAAAUGAGAGAAUAGAUAGAGGCCUUUUCAGAAUGAAGGACCUCAACUUUUUUUAUCAUCCUUGCAUUAAUUAUGGUUAAAUUUCAUUUAAUUUAUUCAUCUAUUUGCAAGUUUCAUUAUUUUUUGUUCUACUCUGCAUCUCUGAGAUUCAUCUGGGAUCUUAUCUUUUUGCCUAAAGAUCUUUCUUCAAUAGUUUUUUUUUUAACACAGCUUAAUUAAAUGAUGAAUUCUCUAUUUUUUUUCUUUAGCAAGAAAAUAUUUUCACUUUAUCUUAAUUCUGAAUUUUAUAUAUAUAUAACAAAUAACACUGGAACAACUGGAUGUCCAUAUGAACAGGCUCAAGAAUUUAUUGGAACCCUCACCUCACACCGUAAACAAAAACCCAUUCAAAAUUGAUGAAAAAUCAACCCAAGAUUCUUACAAGGGGAUGUUCUGCAUCCAUGGAUUCAACCAACCGCUGAUGGAAAAUAUUUGAAAAAAGUGUCUGUGAUAAAUACAUAUAGGUUUCUUCUUGUUAUUCUCUAAACAAUACAGUAUAACAGCUAUUUAUAUAGCAUUUACAUUGCAUUAGGUGUCGUAAAUGAUCCAAAGAUGAUUUGAAAUACAUGGGAAGAAUUGUGUAGGUAUAUGCAAAUAACUACCCUAUUUUACACAAGGGAUUUGAACAUUCACAGAUUUUAGGGUUGGUGUCGAGUUCUGGAACCAAUUCCCCAAGGAUAAGGAGAGAUGAUUGCAUUUGACUUUUCAUUUUUAGAAAUGAAUGUCUAACUAAUUAAUUUUUGUCCCUGGGGAUUGAACCCAGGGGUGCUUUGUCACAGAGCUAUAUCCUCGAUGCUUUUUAUUUUUUUAAGACAGGGUCUCCCUAAGUUGCUGAGGGUCUUGCUAGGUUGCUGAGGUUGACCUCAAAUUUAUAGUCCUUCCGUCUCAGCCUCCCAAGUCACUGGGAUUAUAGGCCUGGGCCUAUAAUCUCAUAAAUGUGCUUAUUUUAUACUCUGGAUCUAAUAAUUCCACCAUGAAGUCUCUAAUGGUCUGAUUCUACCAUCUAUCAUUUCGCCAUCUUUACCCAUGGUGAUGUGUGGUAUGUUUUGUGAUUUUUGAACUAUGGGUCCCUGUUCUUUGGAACUUUCUUCGUGAGGAUUUUCAAGGCUUAUCUCAACUUUCUUUGAGAGAAGUUUUGCAUUUAUACCUACCAUGUUUUUGGUGUUUUGGGAUGCAUCGGAAUGUGAUCCUGGGACCACAGUAAAUCAGAUUCCACACUUGUUUUUUAAAAAAAUACCACAUCGGGGGGCUGGGGAUGUGGCUCAAGCGGUAGCGCGCUUGCCUGGCAUGCGUGCAGCCUGGGUUUGAUCCUCAGCACCACAUACCAACAAAGAUGUUGUGUCCGCCGAGAACUAAAAAAUAAAUAUUAAAAAAUUUUUUUUUCUCUCUCUCUCUCUCCUCUCUCACUCUCUCUUUAAAAAAAAAAAAUACCACAUUGGAAGUAUGAAUUCUGGCUAUAAAUUCUCCCAUGAUCAAAAUUAUGGUCAAAACAUUUCAGGACAGAUGAUUUUUUGUCAUCACCCAGUGGAGGGAGGGUUCCAGACAGGCAAUGUGCAUUGCUCUUCCUGUGGGACACAGGUCUGUUUCUCACACGCCAUUAUGCUGAGCAUGGAGUCUUCCAUUUCCAUUUCAUUUUAUUCAGGAGGUGUAACAGAUCUUGUCCAAAAACG
Ictidomys tridecemlineatus (thirteen-lined ground squirrel) is the source of this 4932-nucleotide non-coding RNA. Lineage: Eukaryota; Metazoa; Chordata; Mammalia; Rodentia; Sciuridae. The record is from RefSeq and is a predicted model, not a curated record.